CCAAUAGCGUAUAUUAAAGUUGUUGCAGUUAAAAAGCUCGUAGUUGAAUUUCAGGCCUGGCUGGACGGUCCGCCCUUCGGGUGAGUACUGUCUGUGGUCGGGUCCUACCUUCUGGCGAAGCGUCAUGGCCUUAACCGGCCGUGGCGGGGAACCAGGACUUUUACUGUGAAAAAAUUAGAGUGUUCAAAGCAGGCAAUCGAUUGGAUACAUUAGCAUGGAAUAAUGGAAUAGGACAAUGGUUCUAUUUGUUGGUUUCUAGGACCGUUGUAAUGAUUAAUAGGGAUAGUUGGGGGCAUUAGUAUUCAAUUGUCAGAGGUUAAAUUCUUGGAUUUAUUGAAGACUAACUACUGCGAAAGCAUUUGCCAAGGAUGUUUUCAUUAAUCAAGAACGAAAGUUAGGGGAUCGAAGACGAUCAGAUACCGUCGUAGCCUUAACCAUAAACUAUGCCGACUAGGAAUCGGGCGAUGUUGACAAAAUGACGCGCUCGGCACCUCAUG
Molecule: ribosomal RNA, 497 nt
Filed under: uncultured Glomeromycotina
Lineage: Eukaryota; Fungi; Glomeromycota
Description: partial small subunit ribosomal RNA
Rfam family: Eukaryotic small subunit ribosomal RNA
Source: RNAcentral